RNAcentral lists this long non-coding RNA (3573 nucleotides) under Sus scrofa (pig). RNAcentral's name for it is "lncRNA (ENSSSCG00000060768.1)". Lineage: Eukaryota; Metazoa; Chordata; Mammalia; Artiodactyla; Suidae. The record is from RNAcentral.
GUCUCAAAGAAUCACCACACUGACUAUUAAUUACAAAUGGGGAUGGCACCUUUACAUUGGAGAAAUCUACCUGACACCAUCUGUGCCAAAUGUUCCUUAGCAUCAUUAACAGUGAGACAGACUGGCAUCAUGGGUCUUUUGAUGUGAUGUGAUGGGAAGGGCACACGUCUCCUAUGACGUUCUUAGAAACAACAUUUAACCUGCAUCUAAUCACGAUGAAGCAGUGAAAUACAUGCAGAAUGUAGGACAUUCCAUAAAGCAAUUACCUGAGCUCUUCAAAAAUAUCAGUGCCAUGAAAGACAAACAAAAACCAAAGGACAAUAAAGGAGACUAAAGAGAUAUUUCUGUUAUGUGUAAUGAGUGAGCCUUGACUGAAUUCUGGACAGAAGAAAAUCUAUAAAGGAUAUUUUGGGAGAUAUUUGGGGAAAUUUGGAUAUGAGUUAUUUAAUAAUCAACAUUAAAUUUCCUGGGUCUAAAAAUGAUAUUGCGGUUUUGUAAAAAUGUUUUUGUUCUAGGAGAAACAUGCAAGUGGUAAACUGUCAUGCUGAAUGUAACAUGUUUCCAAAUGACUCAGCAAAAACAAAAGAGAAAGCAAAUGUGGCAAAAAUUGAACCAUUCGUGAAUCUUAGAUAAAAAGUAUACAAGCAUUUAUUAUACUUUUCUUUCAACUUGUUCUGUAGGUUUGACAUUUUUAAAAAUAAAACUUUUUGGUGUAAGAGUAACACAGACCUCUAAAUACUGACUGCUAUAUUAUUGUCAUUGGAACCAAGAUUUUCAGCAUGAAUGAAAAGAGAUGGAAAUAUAAAAUCAAACCAGCCAAGUGAGACUUCGUAAUCUUAAAAUUUGAACAGUCUUUUAUAUGAUCUGCAUAGCUCCUAUAGAGAGGAAAAUGAAAUCCUAGUAUCUAAUUUUCCUAUCAACAAUAUUUACAGUUAUGUCAAUGGUUGUUAAUAGUUUUUUCAAUUUUUAGAAGCACCCUAUGAACUAGACAGGAAAAAACUUAAUUAUGGUUACUAGAGAAAAUAUAAAUGCCAACCUUUUAAUUUGAAAGUAAAGGUAUAAGUACAGAAAUCAGGAGGAAGACUGAGGAGAAGAGCUGGAAGAAGAGGGGAACUAAUUUUCUCACCUAAUACAGUCAUUUACCAGUAAAUCAAGAAAUAGCAGCAAAGGCUCAUUGUUUAGAAUUAGGAGAAUAACCAUUAAAAAGCCUUGAAACAGGAACAGUUAAAAGUGAUUCCUUCUGGGAGAUUGAAUUGGGGCUGGGAAGGGGUGGGGUAGUAGACUAUGGUUUCAUUACAAGCCCUAUUACAUUAUUAUUUUUUUUCUGUGUGAUUAUUGCAAUAACGUGUUUUAAAAUAACACUUUAAUAAAGCGAGGAGAAUGGCUUACAAUUCACAAUACCUAUAGAAGCACAAUAAAAAUCUUGUGUUGAAAUUAUCAAUUUCCCAGAGAUUCCAGGGUGGGACUGGUUAUUAGAAGAUCUACCAGCAUAAACAGCAGAGGAGCCUUGGGUAGAGGGGAAGGGGAGAGGGGGUGCCAAAGAUAGGGAGGAUAGAGAAGGGGAAGGAAGAAGGAGGGGGGAGGGAGAGAAAAACAAAUUUACUGAAAUAUAAGGUUUGGCUGUCAGAAUAAUUUUGAGUAUGGCACAGUGUAUUAAUUAUAUUAUUCACUAGCUAAUUGUGUCUCAGCAACUAGGAACUUCAGCCAAAGCUGUUAAUUUAGAAAAGAGUGAAAUCCCUUGAGAUUAUGAAGGUGUAAAAUGUGCAAUGCAGCAAUGCUCCAUAGAUGUCUGGAGGUAGCAGGAAGCAUUGUUCAUCUCUCUAGGGACCUAGGCUGGAGAAGUACCAAGAAGGAUCCUCUUGGGAACCAUAAGACUCCUUUGCUAAAGCACAUGCGAUACCUCUAGAAUUUUGAGAGAUGAGAUCUUGCAUUGCAGUGGGUGGAGGCUAAGCUAGAAAAAUACUGUUCUCUUAAUAUUAUUAUAAUUUAUAGUAGGCACAGCUUGGCGUGGCCUGUAAAAACAUGAUUGGUAUAGCUGAUUUUAUAGCAAAAAGCAUUACGGGAGACAAACAGUAUUUCAGCAUGAUUAAAGAUACAUUUAGAAAUGGAAACAUAAAUGCUAAAAUAGUAAGUCUCAGAUCUAAUCCAAUAAUAAAAUAGAGUUUUGAAUUGAGAGAUGCAAGGAUAAGCCUUUCUGGUUGCAGCAUUACGGGGGGAUAACAUGGGGUUAGAUUCUACCAUUGUCUUCUAUUAUUUACUGUCCUGGCUAGGCUGGACCUUCAGUCUACAUCCUGGAAUAAAGAUUCUGAACAGAGCUGAAGCCAGCAGGUGCAGUGAAGGUGUACUAAACCAUGGAUGUUGUAAGCCACUAGGAUUUGUGGGAUGGUUUAUUCCACAACAUAACCUAGUGGAAAGCUAACUAAUACGCUAACUAAUACGUAUCAUAAUCAUCAAGUACUUUUGCUGCCAACACCUAGAAGAGCUAACUUAGUUAUAAUAAAUGUAAUUUUAUUUUAUUAAAAAAUUUUAUUAUAGUUGAUUUACAAUGUUCUGUCAAUAUUAACUAUAAACAGUAAUAAGAAAAAAAGAGAAAUGCAAUAAAUUAACAUAAAAAUCUAGAAAAGGAAAUGUGUACUAUCUUAAAGGCAGGAACAAAAAAAGGGAAAUAUUAAAAAUAAAAGCAGAAAGGAACAAAUUGAGCAACAGAAAAGCAGAACACUAAAUACAUGUACCUAAUGACUGUAUCCAUUCAUUUUAAAACUGUUUCUAAAAUGUACCCCCUUCUUGUUGUGGUCCCUCUCUUUACUGUGAGGCUUAAUUUACAAACUGUCAUGGGUUUGAUGUUCACCUUGAGAAAACAAACACAUUUUUAGUACAUCAAUAAAUAAGGAGUUCCCAUCACAGCACAGUGGUUAACGAAUCUGACUAGGAACCAUGAGGUUGCCGGUUCGAUCCCUGGCCUUGCUCUGUGGGUUAAAGAUCCGGUGCUGCCGUGAGCUGUGGUGUAGGUCGCAGACGUGGCUCGGAUACCAAAUUGCUAUGGCUCUGGUGUAGGCGGGUGGCUACAGCUCCGAUUAGACCCCUAGCCUGGGAAUCUCCAUAUGCUGCGGGAGCGUCCCUAGAAACGGCAAAAAACAAAACCAAAAACAAAUAGAAUAUAUUCUCCAUCAGAAACUACAUCCUGACCAUAGAGUUGCCAUGUUUUUAGGUGUUUUUCAGUUGAAGGUUGCAACCUGCUAGGGAAUCAUGAAAUCAGUUUAGUGUGUUGAAAUUUAUACUAACAAAAUACAAGAGAAUAGAACUGAAAAUAUCAGAGUGCAACAUGUUGUAAAGCUAAAUAAUAUUUCAUAAAACAUUAGUUUCAGUAACAUAAUUUGUGUGCUGGGGAAUGUGUGUGUGUUCUAUAUUGAAAUUAAAAUGUAUAUCUUACUGUAGGUGGCUUGGAGUCAAAAAUGUUUGAAAGUCACUGACUUAGGUCCCUGAAGUUGAAAGUAAUGUUCAAAAUAUUUCACAACUGGUUAAGUUGGGUGUAGCCUAGUCAGAAUUAAAGUUGGCUGCUGUGCUGGACCAUUG